GUUAGUGUCUUUAUUGCUGAGGGUCCACCCGUUCCCAUUCCGAACACGGUAGUUAAGCUCAGUCAUGCCGAAAAUACUCGCCUGGACACGGGCCGGGAAAAUAGGUCGACGCUAACA
Molecule: ribosomal RNA, 117 nt
Filed under: Clostridia bacterium
Lineage: Bacteria; Bacillati; Bacillota; Clostridia
Source: RNAcentral